This 253-nucleotide ribosomal RNA is filed under the name uncultured bacterium. RNAcentral describes it as "partial 16S ribosomal RNA". It matches the Rfam family "Bacterial small subunit ribosomal RNA", at positions 524 to 776 of the family's 1533-position model. The record is from RNAcentral.
UAUGUAGGGUGCGAGCGUUAAUCGGAAUUACUGGGCGUAAAGCGUGCGCAGGCGGUUUUGCAAGCCGGAUGUGAAAUCCCCGGGCUCAACCUGGGAAUGGCAUUCGGGACUGCAAGGCUGGAGUGCGGCAGAGGAGACUGGAAUUCCUGGUGUAGCAGUGAAAUGCGUAGAUAUCAGGAGGAAUACCGAUGGCGAAGGCAGGUCUCUGGGCUGACACUGACGCUCAUGCACGAAAGCGUGGGGAGCAAACAGG